This is a non-coding RNA of Caenorhabditis brenneri, 72 nucleotides long. The record is from the annotation of a GenBank genome assembly. NCBI's taxonomy places the organism in Eukaryota, Metazoa, Nematoda, Chromadorea, Rhabditida, Rhabditidae.
GCGCUCGUGGCCUAGUGGUUAGCGCCCCUGUUUUUGAAAUUUUCAUCGCGGGUUCGAACCCCACUGGGGUCA